GACGAACGCUGGCGGCGUGCUUAACACAUGCAAGUCGAACGGAAAGGCCCUGCUUUUGUGGGGUGCUCGAGUGGCGAACGGGUGAGUAACACGUGAGUAACCUGCCCUUGACUUUGGGAUAACUUCAGGAAACUGGGGCUAAUACCGGAUAGGAGCUCCUGCUGCAUGGUGGGGGUUGGAAAGUUUCGGCGGUUGGGGAUGGACUCGCGGCUUAUCAGCUUGUUGGUGGGGUAGUGGCUUACCAAGGCUUUGACGGGUAGCCGGCCUGAGAGGGUGACCGGCCACAUGGGGACGAGAAUACGCCCAAGACUCCUACGGGAGGCAGCGGUGGGGAAUAUUGCAAAAGGGCCGGAAGCCUGAUGCAGAAACGCGGGGGGGGGGAUGCCGGCUUCGGGUGGUAAACCGCUUUCGCCUGUGACGAAGCGUGAGUGACGGUAAUGGGUAAAGAAGCACCGGCUAACUACGU
This 466-nucleotide ribosomal RNA is filed under the name uncultured bacterium. Its description in RNAcentral is "partial 16S ribosomal RNA". It matches the Rfam family "Bacterial small subunit ribosomal RNA", at positions 28 to 506 of the family's 1533-position model. The record is from RNAcentral.